This 397-nucleotide ribosomal RNA is filed under the name uncultured bacterium. Its description in RNAcentral is "partial 16S ribosomal RNA". It matches the Rfam family "Bacterial small subunit ribosomal RNA", at positions 523 to 918 of the family's 1533-position model. The record is from RNAcentral.
AUACGUAGGGGGCGAGCGUUGUCCGGAAUGAUUGGGCGUAAAGGGCGCGUAGGCGGCCCGGUAAGUCUGGAGUGAAAGUCCUGUUUUUAAGAUGGGAAUUGCUUUGGAUACUGUCGGGCUUGAGUGCAGGAGAGGUAAGUGGAAUUCCCAGUGUAGCGGUGAAAUGCGUAGAGAUUGGGAGGAACACCAGUGGCGAAGGCGACUUACUGGACUGUAACUGACGCUGAGGCGCGAAAGUGUGGGGAGCAAACAGGAUUAGAUACCCUGGUAGUCCACACUGUAAACGAUGAAUGCUAGGUGUAAGAGGUAUCGACCCCUUUUGUGCCGGAGUUAACACAAUAAGCAUUCCGCCUGGGGAGUACGGCCGCAAGGUUGGAACUCAAAUGAAUUGGCGGGG